This 498-nucleotide ribosomal RNA is filed under the name uncultured bacterium. RNAcentral's name for it is "partial 16S ribosomal RNA". It matches the Rfam family "Bacterial small subunit ribosomal RNA", at positions 899 to 1397 of the family's 1533-position model. The record is from RNAcentral.
ACUCAAAUGAAUAGACGGGGACCCGCACAAGCGGUGGAUGAUGUGGUUUAAUUCGAUGCAACGCGAAAAACCUUACCCACCUUUGACAUGUAUGGAAGAUCGCAGAGACGCGAUUGUGCUCGAAAGAGAGCCAUAACACAGGUGCUGCAUGGCUGUCGUCAGCUCGUGUCGUGAGAUGUUGGGUUAAGUCCCGCAACGAGCGCAACCCUUGUCAUUAGUUGCUACAUUUAGUUGGGCACUCUAAUGAGACUGCCGGUGACAAACCGGAGGAAGGUGGGGAUGACGUCAAGUCCUCAUGGCCCUUAUAGGUGGGGCUACACACGUCAUACAAUGGCUGGUACAAAGGGUUGCCAACCCGCGAGGGGGAGCCAAUCCCAUAAAGCCAGUCGUAGUCCGGAUCGCAGUCUGCAACUCGACUGCGUGAAGUCGGAAUCGCUAGUAAUCGUGGAUCAGAAUGUCACGGUGAAUACGUUCCCGGGUCUUGCACACACCGCCCGU